AAGUGGCCCCGCUGAGAAGGCACGUUAGCUAUCGUCAGAUUGGUGAACUAGAGCCGAAACGACUGCCCGUGCAACUGAGAGCAGCGGAAACUACGGGAUGGAAGGCCAAGGGUCAUCAGUGGGCGGGUACUUCCUGUAGAGGUAGUCCAAUCGCAGAGCCAGAGAAUUAGUUCCCUAUAAAAGCCAGAAGAGGCGGGCUUCUCAUUCUUUUUCUGGCUUGCACGCUUUCUGGUCGGACGUGGAAGUUUUGAGGUUGUGCUGUGACUCUCAUCUUAAUUGGAUCCCCUUAGCUUCGAGUUCGAAGGCGCGACCGGCAUUCCUCUUUCUUCCUGCUAUAAUACCUGGGAAUGAACAACCGAAACGACCAGUGGAAGCUUCCUGUGGCGCUACCAGACGGUCGAGGUGUGCCCUGUUCUGUGGAUGGACUUAACCACCAAACAGAUUUCAUGGUGAGCACACUACAACAGUUUUUCCCCUAUGCAUUUGUGUUAUGGGUAAGUAAAAAGUUGGGGGGGGGGUGUGCUAGAAGAUUACUGCAGUCUGCCCAUAAUAAAAAGGCAGUUUGAUUAUGGGUGGUAAGAGUCGGGGUGUGACUAGUAGUUUACAGCUGAUUGGUCAUUCACUAUAUAAAAUUUUCAGAUCUUCAUAUCUAAAAUACUAGGCAAAGCUCCAUGCUGAAGCAGCCUUUUACUUCUGGUGUUUAUGCCUAUCCCUAUUCUCCUUUUCCCACAUUGUUCUGGGUCUUUAAGUACCAAAGGAAAUGGAAUUAUGGAGCUAGAAUACAGCAUCACCUGGUGCUAAGUGGCUUUCUUAAUAUACACAGGUUGUCCUGGCUCCAAAGUGCAUCCUUUCUUUGGAUCACUUCUACCACAGCUAGCUUUGUUGUGGUUGGGGAAAGAGGGAGAACAUGGUGUGGAGAAGACUCAUUUCCCAGUACCAUCCAAUGAUUGUGUGUGUAUACACGCAUAUAUGCCUAUUUUUUCUUAAUGCCAGAACACCUAUUGAUAGAAUGCAUAUAGAUGAACUUGCAAAAGCAGUUACCUUGUAGUAACUGUAGAAGACAAACUUGUAGAAGAGGCACUUGAUGGAGAUAAAUCUGACAAAAACUUAAAAUGUCCAGAAAGAAUACCUUGCUGUCUCUAGCAUCCAUUGUGAAUCUGCCUCAUAACAUAAUGGAAAAGAAAGGUGCCCCAGGGUAGAGUUGCAGCCUCUGCAGCACUGAUACUAUACAUUGGAGUCUCCCAAAGUCCUACCACAGGUAAAUCCAGCUAUUAGGAGAGUGAAAAAUGGUGCUUUUCUGAACUGUCUCUAGCCUUCCCUAAAAACCUAUUGCUCUGGAGUCUUAGUGUAAAUUUGUCCAAACUAAUUACAUAUAGCCCACAUAAAGAUGAAGCUUUUUUUUUUUUUUUUUUUGGCUAGAUAUGAGUGUCACUGGAUAGUUGUCCUCAGGAAUGUAGCCUAGAAUAGAACCAAAGAUUUGGCUAUCAAAUGUCUCAGGACCUGUAUAGGAAAAGUGACUAAUGCCAAACUUAAGAUUCCCUGCCUCUUUUGAGUUAUUGUCACUAAUUUAGUUUCUUCAGCUGCAAACUGGAGGCGAUAAAAGCACUUAACCUCCCAGGGUUGUUCUGAGGCUCAAAUGAGAUAUUACUUGUAAAGUGCUUAUCAUAGUGUCUGGCACAUAGUGAGCACUUAAUAAGUAUAUCACUUAUAUAAAAUAUAUUUUUGUAUAAUCCUUGUUUACUUCCCAAUGUUAGGAGGAUUUGGGGAGGAGAAUAUAAGGAAAUUGAUACUUGUACUUUCCCAUCUUUCUCCCUAUGUCUGAUAACUGACCUCCAGGUAUAGCAUCCUAAUUUGUAUCUCUCGAAUGCUAUUUUGUUAUAUAUUGUGUCAUUAAUUGCAAUUGUAUAUUAAAGUUAUUAUGAAUAAACUGAAAAUUGAUGAAUUGCUA
Molecule: long non-coding RNA, 1948 nt
Organism: Antechinus flavipes (yellow-footed antechinus)
Lineage: Eukaryota; Metazoa; Chordata; Mammalia; Dasyuromorphia; Dasyuridae
Exons: 3
Source: RefSeq, a predicted model, not a curated record